AGUAUUUUGUACAUCAUAUGGUCGCCACAGUAGACCAAAAGUCAGAAAGGCAGUUUGUGACUACAUAUGUAUUGCAACAUGGAGAGCAAAGCAAAAACUUCUAAAGAAUUCAAAAACAUAUCACGAGAAGCAGUUUUGAGAUCAUUUAUAUCUGGAUACUCUGUCAUCCAAGUAAUAUUUUAUAACUUGUAUGUUGGUGAACUGUUAAGAUAGUCUAAUAGUAACUAGUUGUAAUGGGAAUGGAUUAUACAAUUUCUUUUGUCAGUAAUUAAAUGUAGGUCUUUCCACUUUUCCGUUGAAAGACCUAUUGGUUUUGUUCUGUUUUGUUCUGUGUUUAUUGUUUUGUUUUGCCAAAUUUUUUAGUCACUAUGGCUAAAAUGGAACAUAGGGGUAAAACGCAUUUUUUGUUGCUUUUAAGUAAGACAUGACAAAUUCAAAGAACAUUUAAACUGAAUUUUUAAGCCACUCAUUAAUAUAUAUUGAAAAGCAAAAAGAAUCAUUGAUGAAAGAUUUAAGCAAAAAAUUACAGGUGAGCAAUUCAGGCUCUGGAGAGUCUCUUGUUUCUUACACUGUAUUUUUGUAUGUAAUAUCAUACAGUCUAUACGCUUUAGAAACUGACCCUAAUUUACCCUUUUCUGUGUAAGAGUUAUCUCCCCAAACACUGUUUUUCUUGUUAUGAGAUCUCCUUCGAAACCGUGGGAGAAAGCGACAAAUAUUUUUUUUCUAAAAUGCUCAUAUCCUCAGGCCACACUUAAAAAUAUUUUGGUUUGCCCAAACCCUACUUUCCUAAAGGUUUUUAUGAGACAGUUUUGGGUAGGUAGGUAAGCUUAUUUUCUUUUCUUUUUUUUCAAAAAAGAAAAUUGAAGUAUCAGAUUUUAUUAGUCUUCAUGACCUAUUGAUUAAAAAAAACUUCUUCAAAUCAGGACAUUAAAAGAAUUUGAGUAGUCGGCUUUUUUCUGGGUAGGUAGCGUUUGGACAAACAAACCUGUUAUUUCUUGUUGCCCCAGGAUGUUACGUUUUAUUUUGACCGAUGCUAUCUGGAGACUCCAUAUGAGAGUUAUUCCCCUUAAGCAUUUGAUAUAAUGAUAUAAUUCUUCUUGUGUAUACCCCUUUCUAACAGGCCGAAAUUUGAUUUUAUACAUGAUAAUCUAAAACAAAUAGAACACUUUAGUUAUUUCCCAAUACAGCAAGAACUUGUUUGCUUAAAGCAGUCGCUUUUUAGCUGUCCAGUUCUAAAUCUCAUGUUAAUUAAGUUGUUUAUAUUUUUACUCUUUGUCUAAAUGAUUGUCCUGAAUAUACUAGUAUCUGAAAUAAUUGCCUAUUGAUGAAUAGAUUUAUGACCACUUCUCUAGUUUAUAAUGAAAUUUUAAAGUGCUCUAAUAUCAAAACAGCAAAAAAGGAACGUGCCAUUUUGUUUACUCAGAAGUCAUGAAAAAACCUUUACAAUAAUAAAAAAAUCAAACUAAAAAAUCGUGCAGCUCAAGUCGAAAGCACAUUAGAAGGUGUACUUGAUUGGUCCAUAUUUUAUACUUUUUUUAGUAAAUCUUUAGUAGCACUGAAUGCAAUAAUCUUCUAUUAUACACCGAAUUGUCAAAUAUAAAAGUACAAGCGGAAACGCUGUUAACUUUCUACAAAAUAAUUAAUUGUUCAGCAUCGAAUUAAUAAAAGGGUACAACAAUCCGUAACCAAGCAACAAUCAUUGAUCUAUGAUGUCAACUGGUAUUUGAUGGAUAGCUGUCUCAUCGGCAGUCAACAUAGUACUACAUUUGCAAUAUCUCCAGAUUUUUAUUACGAUUUCAUAAUGUUCGUAUUUUUAUUUCAAACUUCGACAAUGCUUCAGUAUGGUUACUUCGAGCGUUGACAUAUAUAGAUACAUGUAGAAUACAGUUGGUCAAUUUGUGAAUGACCUUGGGUGUUGAGGUACUAGUCAUUCUUCAAGUGACACCAGAUACCUGAUCACCACUCGUAGUUUGAAGGUGUCGGCAUUGUUCUAUAUUUUUGUGAUUUAUAUUUUCUAUGUAGUGUGUUUUUGGAAAGCCAAACAUAUAAAAUUAUCUCGCGUAUCAUGAUCGGUAAAGCUAAACCAUAUUAGCCAAAACUGUGUCGGAAUGGAAUUGUAACUUUACUUUCAAGUUCAUCAAUCUGAUUUUUAAUUACAGAUAUAAAAAAAAUAUAAGACUAAGAGGAUGUGUGGCCGAGUGUUCUAUGUUGUUCAUUUACAGUGAUCACUAGCUUGUCAAAACUGAAAAAGUUCGAGUUUUAAUCCGCUUUUGGGGAACUCUGGAUUUGCUAGGAUUAACAGUAUUCCAGUCGGUGGUUACCGCCAGGUACUUCAAAGUUCUCCCACGACAAAAGCUGGUCGUCAUUUAGAGUCAAAUCAAAAAUCUUUAUAAAGGGGUGGCGUGAUUCCAUAAAACGGGGAAAUAUAUCAGGACCAUUUGAUGCUAAAAAUGAAAAACUUUACAACCACCUUUGGCAGUCCGCCACUGCCAUUAUAUACUAUUUAGUGUGGUGCCGCGUACACCAAAAAUCAACGCGUUUAGAUUUAAAUACUUAAAAUGCUCUGUUCUUGAGGGAUGAAAUCAAUAUGUAAACAUAAAUAUAUAUCUGCAAAUUUAUAAAUCUCACAUUGUUGGGCUGUUAUUUAGACAAAUUAUAUAUACAGAAUGUUUUCAACCUUGUAUCACCAUCACUGGUGAUCCGAUAGAUAAAAUGUGUCGCAGAGUUGUCACUGCAUGUUCAGACAUUUAAAUGAUGACAAUCAAUCAUUGAAUUACAUUUCGUGAUCCGAGUUAAAUAUAAAGCUUAAGUUAUCCCACAUGAAUUAAAUUCGGUACACUCAUAGUAACGGAAUUUUCAGAUUCAAUUUACUACUGAUGUUUAACAAUAUUGUCGCCGUAUUAUAGAUUUGUUAGAAAGAAAAAAAAUAUUUGCAAAACAGAUGUUUUAAGAAAACAUGGCUGUGGCAUAUAUUGAGUGUUUACCUGUUAAAGAUUUUCCUUUCAGAAGAUUAGCAUAACAGAAACCCAAUAAUUUUCAGUUGCUAUAAAAAAAAAUGUACAUUUUUGACCAGAGUUUGUAGUUAGACGGUGAUGUAUUUAAUGUUUUUGCAGAUUUUUGUGAGUCCAAUGGUCAACAAACCCAUACAAGAGCUAAGGCCAGACGAGCUAUGCACAAUAGUAUAACUUCUACAAGAUGGCAUGCUAACCACAGAUUGAGAUUACAAUAUCAUGAUUAGGAACUAAUUAUGCUGUCAGGCAAUUCAUGCUUAUAUUCUUACAACACAAUGAUCUUAUUCGACCGUAGAUCUGGAAGUACAUCUUACAGGAAAUAGUUAACGAUAAUAUGAAAGUGUAUGUUUAAAAUUUUCGUCACUCACUUGUUAGCCUUUUCGUCAUUUUUCGGUUUUUGCCUUGUUAGUGUGACUUCGACCAACGAGUUUGAAUAUCCUUUUCCGCCUCGUUUUUAAAGAUCUAACUACUUAUCUAACAAAGUAUAGAAAGAGGACACGGAUCCGAGUGAAUGAAACGGAUAAACAUUAACGAUGCGUCCAGAUUUGAAUUUCAACGGCUUAAGUCUGUCAGGUCAAAGCAUGCUCGAGGCCAAAACAUUUGAAAAAUCCAAAACCAAAAUGAACAAAGAAAGAAAGCUAAACCAAGACAAGGAAUCAGAUUUCAGUGCAUCCUUUAUUUGAAUUAUAAAACAUCGAAUAUACAUACAAUCAAUAUCCGCAUUUUUAUGUCAGUACUUCGAAUAUCUGAAGAGAUUAUUGAUGACUUGGUGAAGACUGGUGUUCAAUUUCUUUCAAAUUGAAAGGUUUUUAUGCAUAGAUUGGACCAGAUUAAAUUUGCCGUUAUUUAUUCAUCAUCCACGCACGAACUUGUCGUAGCAAAAAAUAAUCUCUGUACAUUAUUAACCUCAGUUUCAGGUAAAGAGGACUGGUGUGAUUUUUUUUCUCGGUGACAAGUGCUUUUGGCCAUCCCUAAGAUCUUCCGAUGUUCAGUACUUUAGUACUUUGAUUGCUCUUUUUGUUGAGAGGCAGACAGACAGAAAGACAUACAAGAGGUGAUUUAGGGGUGGGGCAAGAAUUCUGGGCCACCCUUUCGUUGGAAAAAAAAUUGUUAUUUAGAGAAUCACUGAAGAAUAAUUUACUUGAAUAGGUCCCCUCUUAAGCGUUCAGUUGGCCCCACUUAUGAAUGUUUCUGGAACCACCACUAUAUACAAUUAUCAGUUAGUUAACAUAUUAAAAAAAAAAACAUUUUAAACAGAUUUUUAUUUUUUACAUACAAUAAAGGGACGACAUAAAAAAAUCAAUGAAGGAUACAAAACUUAAUUCAAAUAGUUUAGGGGGGGGGGUGUUACAAAUUGCUGCAAGUUUUGUUUAAUUGAUAUAUAAUUUAUAUAUAUUCUUAUUGGUCAAUCAAUUGUUCCCAAAUUAAGUAAAAAAAUGCGGUUUUUAUCCAACGCAAUCAUGAACGUUGUUUUCAAUUUAGACUUGUUUAUAUUUUUAUAUAUUAUAUUUUUAUAUAUAUAUUGCAAUGCAUAUUUAACAUUGUUAUGCUGAUAUUUAGAGUUGUAAUAUAUGUAUUGUAGUUUUAUUUUGC
RNAcentral lists this long non-coding RNA (4604 nucleotides) under Mytilus galloprovincialis (Mediterranean mussel). Lineage: Eukaryota; Metazoa; Mollusca; Bivalvia; Mytilida; Mytilidae. The record is from RNAcentral.